RNAcentral lists this ribosomal RNA (406 nucleotides) under uncultured bacterium. Its description in RNAcentral is "partial 16S ribosomal RNA". It matches the Rfam family "Bacterial small subunit ribosomal RNA", at positions 29 to 526 of the family's 1533-position model. The record is from RNAcentral.
AUUGAACGCUGGCGGCAUGCCUAACACAUGCAAGUCGAACGAGUGGCGGACGGGUGAGUGAUGGCUGGGAAACUGCCUGAUGGAGGGGGAUAACGACUGGAAACGGUAGCUAAUGCCGCAUAACAUCAGAUGGGCCCAGGGGGGAGUAGCGUGUGGGGGGGGAAACGGCUCACCAAGGCGACGAUCCCUAGCUGGUCUGAGAGGAUGACCGGCCACACUGGAACUGAGACACAGUCCAGACUCCUACGGGAGGCAGCAGUGGGGAAUAUUGCACAAUGGGCGCAAGCCUGAUGCAGCCAUGCCGCGUGUAUGAAGAAGGCUUUCGGGUCGUAAAGUACUUUCAGCGGGGAGGCGGUACCCGCAGAAGAAGCACCGGCUAACUCCGUGCCAGCAGCCGCGGUAAUAC